AAUGAACGUUGGCGGCGUGGAUUAGGCAUGCAAGUCGGUCGCCCCGCAAGGGGCGAGGCGCAAGGGUGAGUAGUGCGGAGGCAACCAACCCCACGAUUGGGUAUAGCCGCGGGAAACCGCGGGUAAUCCCCAGCGACGUUUCGAGGCGGCAUCGCCUUGGGACCAUAGGUGUGAUUCCGGCGUGGGACGGGCCUCCGUGGUAUCAGGUAGUUGGCGGGGUAGUGGCCCACCAAGCCGAUGACGCCUACCGGGCGUGCGAGCGUGGCCCGGCACACUGGGACUGAGACACUGCCCAGACUCCUACGGGAGGCUGCAGUCGAGAAUCUUCGGCAAUGGGCGCCAGCCUGACCGAGCGACGCCGCGUGGAGGACGAAGGCCUUCGGGUUGUAAACUCCUGUCGAGGGGGAACAAGAGCGGUGCAGAGCCGCUUUGAGUGAACCCUGGAGGAAGCACGGGCUAAGUUCGUGCCAGCCGCCGCGGUAACAC
This 486-nucleotide ribosomal RNA is filed under the name uncultured bacterium. Its description in RNAcentral is "bacterial SSU rRNA". It matches the Rfam family "Bacterial small subunit ribosomal RNA", at positions 28 to 526 of the family's 1533-position model. The record is from RNAcentral.